Molecule: RNA transcript, 3381 nt
Organism: Humulus lupulus (European hop)
Lineage: Eukaryota; Viridiplantae; Streptophyta; Magnoliopsida; Rosales; Cannabaceae
Gene name: ABC transporter G family member 6-like
Exons: 3
Source: RefSeq, a predicted model, not a curated record
UUUAAUUGUUAGAGAAAUCUAUAUAGAAAUGGAAAUGGAAAUGGAAUUAGUUGAGUCUCAACCCAAAAACGACAUCGUUUUACAAGAAGAACAACAAGUCAUUGACAUUGCCGGUAAUGUCACCGGAAACGAACCAGAGCGGCCACUGUCCUUUGUGCUCUGCUUCAGUAACCUCACUUACAGUGUCAAGCUUCGUCGUCCGAACAAGUUCAACGUAUUCCGGCGGAGCACGUCCGUACCACCGGAAGAGAAAACGAUUCUGGAUAACAUCUCCGGAGAAGCUUACGACGGCGAGAUUCUGGCACUGUUGGGAGCAAGUGGUUCGGGAAAAACGACAUUGAUCGAUGCUCUCGCUAAUAGAAUUGAGAAAGAGAGCUUGAAAGGAACCAUAACUCUGAACGGAGAGUUCGUAGACUCGCGGCUCUCGAAGGCCAUUACUGGGUACGUAAUGCAAGAUGAUCUCUUGUACCCGAUGCUUACGGUGGAAGAAACGCUCACUUUCGCGGCAAAGUUCCGGCUUCCGAGGUCGCUACCCAAGUCGAAGAAGAAGGCACGAGUUCAGUCUUUGAUAGAUCAGUUGGGGCUUCGAAACGCUGCCAACACCAUAAUCGGCGACGAGGGCCAUCGUGGAGUCUCCGGCGGAGAGAGGAGACGAGUUUCGAUCGGCGUCGACGUGAUUCACGACCCGAUUCUUCUGUUCCUAGAUGAACCCACUUCGGGACUCGACUCCACUAGUGCGUUCAUGGUGGUGAAAGUUUUGAGAAGAAUCGCCGAGAGUGGAAGCCUCGUCGUUAUGUCUGUACACCAACCGAGUUACCGUAUUCUUGGCUUGCUCGACCGUUUGAUCUUCCUCUCCGGCGGGAAAAUAGCUUACAGUGGUUCUUCCACGAACCUUACUGAAUUUUGCUCUGCUUUCGGCCACCCGAUUCCGGAAAACGCUAACCAAGUCGAGUUCAUGCUCGAUAUGAUUUCUGAGCUCGAAGCUUCUCCCACCGGAAUCACCAGCUUGGUGGAGUUUAACAAUCUUUCCAGCUCCGGCGCCGACUAUCGUCAGGUUCCACUACUCAAAGAAGCAUUAAAGGCGGGCAUUUCCAAAGGAAAGUUUAUAACAUCUAACAACGAAAGCAUAAGCAGCCCGAUCAACGGAAAAGUCUCCGGUAUCCGAAAAUUCGCGAACCCCAUAUGGAUUGAAACGCUGGUUCUGACGAAGCGUUCGAUGCUCAAUUCUCGGAGAACCCCAGAACUAUUCGUGACUCGUUUGAUCACUGUUUUAACCACUGGUCUUUUACUGGCCACCAUUUAUUGGCGUCUCGACGAUUCUCCAAAAGGGAUCAGAGAACGAAUGGGAUUCUUCGCUUUCGCCAUAUCCACCACUUACUUCUCGAGCUGUCAGUCUCUUCCUCUCUUGCUCCAAGAACGAUUCAUCUUCACCAGAGAAACCGCCUUCAACUCGUACCGAAGACUCUCCUACGCUCUCUCCCAAGCCAUAACAAUCCUCCCACUCCUACUGGUUCUCUCGCUCGCGUUCUCGACGGCGACGUUUUGGGCAGUGGGACUCGGCGGAGGACUCCGGGGCUUCCUUUUCUACCUCUGCAUCGUCUCAGGUUCGUUCUGGGCCGGAAACUCAUUAGUUGUAUUCCUCUCCGGGUUGGUAUCUCACGUGUUGGUCGGGUACACGGUGGUGGUGUCCGUCUCCGCCUACUUCCUCCUCCUGAGUGGAUUCUUCAUCAACCGGAAUCGGAUUCCCGAUUACUGGGUUUGGUUCCAUUACCUUUCUCUGAUCAAGUACCCAUACGAGGCUGUUAUGAGGAGCGAAUUCGAAAACCCGGCAAGGUGUUUCGAGCGAGGAGUGGAUAUGUUCGAUGCCACGCCGUUUGCUAAUGCACCGGCCGCCGUGAAGGAGGUGGUGUUGGGGAACCUGAGCACGGCGGUGGGACUCAAUGUGACGAGCACCACGUGUUUGAAGAAUGGAUUGGAUGUGUUGAAGGAAGUAGGGAUCACUGAGCUGAGUAAUAAGUGGGAAUAUUUGGCUAUUUUGGUAGCUUGGGGAUUGUUUUAUAGGAUUCUCUAUUACAUUUCUUUGUUGAUUUUAUGGAAAAAUAAGAGGAAGUAAAUUUAGUGUAAUGGCUUUUGGGAGUGUCUUUAUUAUGUAUGAUUUUAUUUAGUUAUUAAUAUUGUUAUUAGUGUGUAUACAAGCGGUAAAUCCAGCAUGGGGCGUGGAAGGUUAUGAUCUUUUUGUUUCGGGAGGAAUAGCUUCUCAUCGUAUUGCAACGGGAACUUUGGGCAUAUUGGCGGGUGUAAAACCUAAGACUUUUUCAGGUUGAAAAGUCAAUUAUGGGAGGGAAAAAAAAAAAUUUAAAAUCAUAUAUGUGAUUGUUUUCCUUUUCUUCUCCCUCCCUCCCGAACCUUUCUCUUUCUUCUUCUUCUCUCUUUUUUUUUUUCUUUUUCUUUUCCUUCCUUUGUUUUCUCUCCAAACCAGCCACGGCAAGCUUCAGACCAGCCACCGUCGGAGCUCCAUUUCUGACACGCGCUGGAGCUGCAGCUUCCCUGACCGGCGAUGACGGAAACCCCAAAGUUUGGUGACCAUCGGAGCAAGGACGCGCCUGUACGGCCACUCCGAAGUUUUGCCGUCCAAACUUUGAGGUGACUUUCCGGCGAACUCCGACCACCGUUCGGCGAAUGGGUGGUACCGUUGGAAUCAGCAUCGUGAAAGGAUCGUCGCCCACGAAGUCAUCCUGGUCAACUCGCCAUUUUUCUCCGGCGAGAUUUUGGGUAUCUUCGCCCCUUUGGAAGCAUUUUCCGGCGACACCGGAGGUCAUUUGGGCGAAUGAGCUGUACUUUCGUGAUGUACUCAUCGAGAUGAUCGUUUUGAUAUAUGCUAUGCAUAUAUUCGUCGACGUUUCCGGUACUGCCACCAACCGCUAUAGUGCACCGCUUGGGAAAAGCGUGAUAUUAAAAUCAGACUAAAUCAUUCUAAGAUCAUCGAUAAGCUUAGGAGCGUUGCUUUGGGCUCGGAUUAAAUUCUAAAGAGGAGCCUAGUGAAGCGAACGUGGAAAAGUAUGAAUUGUUGCUGAAGCCAAGGUGUUUAGAGCCACAGUCCUAUCUUUUGAACAUUGUAUGUAUUUAAUUUGGAACCUAUCGGUCUGUACAUCUAAAUUAGCUAUGUCUUAGUUAGGAAUGAGGAAUGGUGGAUGCUAAGUAUUAUUUCGGAUAUUUUAUGACUUAUUAAAUUUAAUUGUUUGGUGACUACAUAACUGUUGGGAUAUUAUUAUUCUAUGUAUUAAGAUAAAUGAUCCUACUUUUAUCCGUAAUAUUUUCAUAUAUAAUUAUAGGAGUUAUUCCAUUGUUUCGACUUAUAAUUAUAGUAAUAUUUAAUAUAAA